RNAcentral lists this ribosomal RNA (520 nucleotides) under uncultured Glomeromycotina. RNAcentral's name for it is "SSU rRNA". It matches the Rfam family "Eukaryotic small subunit ribosomal RNA", at positions 569 to 1091 of the family's 1831-position model. The record is from RNAcentral. Lineage: Eukaryota; Fungi; Glomeromycota.
AGCAGCCGCGGUAAUUCCAGCUCCAAUAGCGUAUAUUAAAGUUGUUGCAGUUAAAAAGCUCGUAGUUGAAUUUCGAGACCGGUCUACUGGUCGUGCUUUUGUACGUACUGGUAUUAUUGGUUUCUCCUUUCUGACGAAUCUUAAUGCCAUUAAUUUGGUGUUUUGGGGAAUCAGGACUGUUACUUUGAAAAAAUUAGAGUGUUUAAAGCAGGCUCACGCUUGAAUACAUUAGCAUGGAAUAACGAAAUAGGACGUUUGAUUUUAUUUUGUUGGUUUCUAGGAUCGACGUAAUGAUUAAUAGGGAUAGUUGGGGGCAUUAGUAUUCAAUUGUCAGAGGUGAAAUUCUUGGAUUUAUUGAAGACUAACUACUGCGAAAGCAUUUGCCAAGGAUGUUUUCAUUAAUCAAGAACGAAAGUUAGGGGAUCGAAGACGAUCAGAUACCGUCGUAGUCUUAACCAUAAACUAUGCCGACUAGGGAUCGGAUGAUGUUAAUUUUUAAUGACUCAUUCGGCGUCCUUAC